AGUGCCAUUAUUAGCUCUUCUACAGAACCACGCAGGGUAUUCUGCCCACUCCCCACAGCCAGAGGACACUUCCGUGUGCAGGGAGAGGAGCUGGGGGCACAGGCGGGACACACAUGCUAGCCCAUCCCUCAGGGUGUCACCCUCCACUUCCUUGGAACUCCCAGCUGUUCAGGGCUGAGGCAGGCAGGCCCGUCAGUGUGAAAGAGCCCUCCCAAGCCAGUGAUUUCAUGCUUCAGGCAUUUAUCCCCAGAACUGGCCAGGGAGCCGAGCAGGCCAAACCCCCUCCUGCUCACAGAGCCAGAGCAGACACAAGGGUAGAGCUGGACAGUGUUAGCUCUCACUUCCUUCAGCAGCCUUGACUGUGUUCCCAUGGCCUCCUCAGUCUAAAGGUUGCUUCUCUGCCUUCCACAGUCAAAGCCAACAAAUGAAAAUAAUCACUAGUGGGAGCUGGGCGGGAGUACCCAGGAUUCUGGUCAAUCACUCUUCAACUCAGAACAAGAGGAAGGCCUGCGGCAUGUCUGCUCCUGCCUUCCUCCAGCCAAGGAUGAGCUAUGUUUCACGUGCUGGCAGGCAGCAUCAUACAAAGUUCUGUUGAGUUCUGAGAUGGGUAUGACCGGAAGGAGCCACCUGGGGAGUGAAAGAAGCCCCCUGUCUUACAGUAUCUAAAUCCCUAAGUAUGGGGAAAACGGCAACAACAUUUUGGAAGCUGAAACACGCUGGGUGGUCCAGUGGUCCUGAGAUCAGACCUGAGAAAAUGGAAUCUCAAACCAGCAAAGGGAAACUGAAAACCAACCUGAUUUACCCCACAAAAUUCUCCAAAGUCUCAGAUGGAUGGCACCAGGCGUCUGGCCAUGGGAGAGGAGGUGCAUUAAAACCAGAAGUCCAAGGCAGACUCUCUGGGAAGUCAGGCACCUGGUGCUUUCUGGCCAACAGAAGUCUGCAGCGUAUUCACUCUCUGGAGACGGCAAACCAAGGACUUUGACUGGAGUGCCAGGCCCAGCUGAGAAAAAUCGAGUCCAUGUUUACUGAAUACUGAAGCAGUGGUCCCCAACCCUUUCCCCCAACUCAGCUCUCAUAGCAAGGGUGGCUUGACUCAUCCUUCAGGCAGACUGGAAGAUGCCUCUUUGAAGAAAGUGAAACAUUUCAUGAAGCACCUAAAAAGAUGAUCCUGGGAGAGGGUCCCCAAUAGCUAGUGUACCCAGACUAAACUGACCAGACCCAGCUAUGAGCUCAGACUUCCAAUUGGCCUUUUCUCCCUACUCUUACUCUGGAGCAGAAAGCCAAGAAUGACCAGAUAUCUGAUAAGUCCCUCUGAUAGGGAUGAUAAAGACCCAAACAAAAGGAAAAGGUCAGCUUAAAGGAAACAGAAACUUUGCAAAGAUAAGAAAACUCUGAAAAAUAUAUCAACAAAUACUCUGAGGGCUACAAGAAAGUAUUGCAUCCUUGAAGCAAACCAAAAAAAAAAAAAAAAAAAAAAAAAGGAUGUCAUUAAAACAAUAAAAUGAAAUGUAACAAUCAAAACACUAAGAAAAAGGUCUUGAUUAUUAAAAACAGUUUAGCAAAAUAAAAAAAUUGAUUGAAGGCAUACAAGACUGAGUUAAGGGAAUCCUCAGAAAGUGAAGAUAAAAAUAGGUAAUAAAAAAAAUCCAAUAUCCAAAUAGUAAAAGUACCAGAGAGAACAGAAAGUGUAGAAAAAUAUCACCACUGAAAUAAUUCAAGAUGAUUUCUCAAAACUGAAAGAUACAUUACCAGACCAGAAACGGCCCACCCAGUGCCCAGCAUAAUGUAAAGAGAACCUCAUGUUCGUGUAUCGUUUUGAAAUUUCAGAAAACCGGGGACAAAAAGAACUUCCUACUAGUUUAUAGUUACAUGUAAAAGAUUAUGAAUCAGAAUGGACUGCUUAACAGCAAUACUAGAAGCCAGGAGACAAGCAAUCAGAAGUUUAAAAGAAAAUAGUUUGCAACCUAGAAUUUGACAUCCAGCCAAACUAUGGGUCGAGUGUGAGCACAGAAAAAAGAAUUUUCAGACACAAAAAGUCUCAAACCACUUCUCUCCCAUGAGCUCUUUCUCAAGAAGUUACUGGAAGAUAACCUCCAUCGAGAUGAGACAGCAAGGGCACCUGGGUGGCCUAGUCAGUUAAGCAUCCAACUUCGGCUCAGGUCAUGAUCUCAUAGUCCAUGAGUUCGAGUCCCACAUCAGGCUCUGUGCUGAUAGCUCGGAGCCUGGAGCCUGCUUCGGAUUCUGUGUCUCCCUCUCUCUCUGCCCCUCUCCCACUCGCACUCUGUCUUUCUCU
This is a long non-coding RNA of Panthera uncia (snow leopard), 2293 nucleotides long. RefSeq lists it as uncharacterized. Lineage: Eukaryota; Metazoa; Chordata; Mammalia; Carnivora; Felidae. The record is from RefSeq and is a predicted model, not a curated record. The transcript has 3 exons.